Molecule: ribosomal RNA, 1027 nt
Filed under: uncultured bacterium
Lineage: Bacteria
Description: bacterial SSU rRNA
Rfam family: Bacterial small subunit ribosomal RNA
Source: RNAcentral
CCCUCGGGUCGUAAAGCACUGUCAGGAGGGAGAUAAUGACGGUACCUCCCAAAGGGAAGCAACGGCUAAUUACGUGCCAGCAGCCGCGGUAAUACGUAAGUUGCGAGCGUUAUCCGGGAAUCACUGGGCGUAAAGCGUUCGUAGGCGGCGCGGUAAGUCGGAUUUGAAAGCCCGGGGCUCAACCCCGGAUCCGGAUCCGAAACUAUUGUGCUUGAGUGUAUCAGAGGGUAGCGGAAUUCCCGGUGUAGCGGUAAUAUGCGUAGAUAUCGGGAGGAACACCAGUGGCGAAGGCGGCUACCUGGGGUACUACUGACGCUGAGGAACGAAAGCUAGGGGAGCGAACGGGAUUAGAUACCCCGGUAGUCCUAGCCGUAAACGAUGGACACUAGGUGUCGGGGGCUUCGACCCCCUCGGUGCCGCCGCUAACGCAUUAAGUGUCCCGCCUGGGAAGUACGGCCGCAAGGUUAAAACUCAAAGGAAUUGACGGGUCCCCGCACAAGCAGUGGAGCAUGUGGAUUAAUUCGAUGCUACGCGAAGAACCUUACCAGGACUUGACAUCCUGCUGAAAGCAUCUGGAAACAGUAGCCCCCUUCGGGCAGCAGUGACAGGUGGUGCAUGGCUGUCGUCAGCUCGUGCCGUGAGGUGUCAGAUUAAGUUCUGUAACGAGCGCAACCCUCGUUGUUAGUUGCCAUCAUUAAGUUGGGCACUCUAGCGAGACUGCCAGCGUCAAGCUGGAGGAAGGUGGGGACGACGUCAAGUCAUCAUGCCCCUUACGUCCUGGGCUUCACACGUGCUACAAUGGCCGGUACAACGGGCUGCAACAUCGCGAGAUGAAGCGAAUCCCUCAAAGCCGGUCUCAGUUCGGAUUGGAGGCUGCAACUCGCCUCCAUGAAGUUGGAAUUGCUAGUAAACGUGGAUCAGCAUGCCGCGUUGAAUACGUACCCGGGGAUUGUACACACCGCCCGUCACACCACGGAAGUUGGUAACACCCGAAGUCCGUCGGCUAACCGCAAGGAAGCAGCGCCGA